CCUACGGGCGGCAGCAGUGGGGAAUAUUGCACAAUGGGGGGAACCCUGAUGCAGCAACGCCGCGUGGGUGAAGAAGUACUUCGGUAUGUAAAGCCCUGUCAGCAGGGAAGAAAAUGACGGUACCUGACCAAGAAGCCCCGGCUAACUACGUGCCAGCAGCCGCGGUAAUACGUAGGGGGCAAGCGUUAUCCGGAUUUACUGGGUGUAAAGGGGGCGUAGACGGCAAGGCAAGUCUGGAGUGAAAGCCCGUGGAUCAACCACGGGACUGCUUUGGAAACUGUGUUGCUGGAGUGUAGGAGGGGUAAGCGGAAUUCCUAGUGUAGCGGUGAAAUGCGUAGAUAUUAGGAGGAACACCGGUGGCGAAGGCGGCUUACUGGACUGUAACUGACGUUGAGGCUCGAAGGCGUGGGGAGCAAACAGGAUUAGAUACCCGAGUAGUC
This 440-nucleotide ribosomal RNA is filed under the name uncultured bacterium. RNAcentral's name for it is "partial 16S ribosomal RNA". It matches the Rfam family "Bacterial small subunit ribosomal RNA", at positions 338 to 795 of the family's 1533-position model. The record is from RNAcentral.